RNAcentral lists this ribosomal RNA (253 nucleotides) under uncultured bacterium. Its description in RNAcentral is "partial 16S ribosomal RNA". It matches the Rfam family "Bacterial small subunit ribosomal RNA", at positions 524 to 776 of the family's 1533-position model. The record is from RNAcentral.
UACAGAGACCUCAAACGUUAUCCGGAUUCAUUGGGCGUAAAGCGUCCGCAGGUGGUUUGGUAAGUCAUUGGUUAAAUCCUGGGGCUCAACUUCAGGACUGCUGGUGAUACUGCCAAGCUUGAGGAUGGAAGAGGUAAGCGGAAUUCUCGGUGUAGUCGUAAUAAGCGCUGAUAUCGAGAAGAACACCAAAGGCGAAGGCAGCUUACUGGUACAUUCCUGACACUCAUGGACGAAAGCGUGGGGAGCGAAUAGG